AGCGUUGUUCGGAAUCACUGGGCGUAAAGGGCGCGUAGGCGGCUUUAUAAGUCGGGGGUGAAAGCCUGUGGCUCAACCACAGAAUUGCCUUCGAUACUGUAGAGCUUGAGACCGGAAGAGGUAAGUGGAACUGCGAGUGUAGAGGUGAAAUUCGUAGAUAUUCGCAAGAACACCAGUGGCGAAGGCGGCUUACUGGUCCGGUUCUGACGCUGAGGCGCGUAAGCGUGGGGAGCAAACAGGAUCAGAUACCCUGGUAGUCCACGCCGUAAACGAUGAAUGCCAGCCGUUGGCGAGCUUGCUCGUCAGUGGCGCAGCUAACGCUUUAAGCAUUCCGCCUGGGGAGUACGGCCGCAAGGUUAAAACUCAAAGAAAUUGACGGGGGCCUGCACAAGCGGUGGAGCAUGUGGUUUAAUUCGAAGC
This 420-nucleotide ribosomal RNA is filed under the name uncultured Alphaproteobacteria bacterium. RNAcentral's name for it is "bacterial SSU rRNA". It matches the Rfam family "Bacterial small subunit ribosomal RNA", at positions 537 to 957 of the family's 1533-position model. The record is from RNAcentral. Lineage: Bacteria; Pseudomonadati; Pseudomonadota; Alphaproteobacteria.